This 541-nucleotide ribosomal RNA is filed under the name uncultured archaeon. RNAcentral's name for it is "bacterial SSU rRNA". It matches the Rfam family "Archaeal small subunit ribosomal RNA", at positions 457 to 997 of the family's 1478-position model. The record is from RNAcentral.
GCCAGCAGCCGCGGUAACACCGGCAGCUCUAGUGGUAGCAAUUUUAUUGGGCCUAAAGCGUCCGUAGCCGGUUUAAUAAGUCUCUGGUGAAAUCCUGCAGCUUAACUGUGGGAAUUGCUGGAGAUACUAUUAGACUUGAGACCGGGAGAGGUUAGAGGUACUCCCAGGGUAGAGGUGAAAUUCUGUAAUCCUGGGAGGACCGCCUGUUGCGAAGGCGUCUAACUGGAACGGUUCUGACGGUGAGGGACGAAAGUUAGGGGCGCGAACCGGAUUAGAUACCCGGGUAGUCCUAACUGUAAACGGUGCGGACUUGGUGUUGGGGUGGCUUUGAGCUGCUUCAGUGCCGAAGGGAAGCUGUUAAGUCCGCCGCCUGGGAAGUACGGUCGCAAGGCUGAAACUUAAAGGAAUUGGCGGGGGAGCACCACAACGCGUGGAGCCUGCCGGUUUAAUUGGAUUCAACGCCGGACAUCUCACCAGAGGCGACAGCUGUAUGAUAGCCAGGUUGAUGACUUUGCUUGACUAGCUGAGAAGAGGUGCAUGG